This is a non-coding RNA of Mesocricetus auratus (golden hamster), 330 nucleotides long. NCBI's taxonomy places the organism in Eukaryota, Metazoa, Chordata, Mammalia, Rodentia, Cricetidae. The record is from the annotation of a RefSeq genome assembly.
AUGCAUCCCUUAAGAGUUUUGAUAGUGGUGCUCUGGCUUCAAGUGAGGGGUGUGAGCAGUCAGCAGAAGGUGCAGCAGAACUCAGAAUCCUUCAGUGUCCCUGAGGGUGCCAUGGCCUCUCUCACCAGCACUUUCAGCGAUCAUAAUACUGAUUACUUCUGGUGGUACAGACAGUAUCCUGGGAAAAGCCCCAAGGCUCUGAUGACCAUCAUCUCCAAUGGUGAAAAGGAAGAAGGAAGAUUCACAAUUCACCUCAAUAAAGUGAGCCUGCAUGUUUCCCUGUACAUCAGAGACUCCCAGCCCAGUGACUCAGCUGUCUACCUGUGUGCA